CGAGUGGCGGACGGGUGAGUAAUGCUUGGGAACUUGCCUUUAGGUGGGGGAUAACAGUUGGAAACGACUGCUAAUACCGCAUAAUGUCUACGGACCAAAGGGGGCUUCGGCUCCCGCCUUGAGAGAGGCCCAAGUGAGAUUAGCUAGUUGGUGGGGUAAAGGCCUACCAAGGCAACGAUCUCUAGCUGUUCUGAGAGGAAGAUCAGCCACACUGGGACUGAGACACGGCCCAGACUCCUACGGGAGGCAGCAGUGGGGAAUAUUGCACAAUGGGGGAAACCCUGAUGCAGCCAUGCCGCGUGUGUGAAGAAGGCCUUCGGGUUGUAAAGCACUUUCAGUUGUGAGGAAAGGUUGGUAGUUAAUACCUGCCAGCUGUGACGUUAACAACAGAAGAAGCACCGGCUAACUCCGUGCCAGCAGCCGCGGUAAUACGGAGGGUGCGAGCGUUAAUCGGAAUUACUGGGCGUAAAGCGCACGCAGGCGGCUUGUUAAGCUAGAGGUGAAAGCCCCGCGCUCAACGUGGGAACUGCCUUUAGAACUGGCAGGCUAGAGUCUUGGAGAGGGGAGUGGAAUUCCAGGUGUAGCGGUGAAAUGCGUAGAUAUCUGGAGGAACAUCAGUGGCGAAGGCGGCUCCCUGGCCAAAGACUGACGCUCAUGUGC
This 660-nucleotide ribosomal RNA is filed under the name Marisediminitalea aggregata. Its description in RNAcentral is "bacterial SSU rRNA". It matches the Rfam family "Bacterial small subunit ribosomal RNA", at positions 92 to 754 of the family's 1533-position model. The record is from RNAcentral. Lineage: Bacteria; Pseudomonadati; Pseudomonadota; Gammaproteobacteria; Alteromonadales; Alteromonadaceae.